CCCUAAGGGGACUGCCCCGGACAACGGGGAGGAAGGUGGGGAUGACGUCAAGUCCGCAUGCUCCUUACGUCUAGGGCUACACACGUCCUACAAUGGGGUCGACAGUGGGAUGCAAAGCCGCGAGGUGGAGCCAAUCCCCAAACGGCCUCUCAGUUCGGAUAGUAGUCUGCAACUCGACUACUUGAAGUCGGAAUCGCUAGUAAUGGCGGAUCAGCAUGCCGCCGUGAAUACGUUCCCGGGUCUU
RNAcentral lists this ribosomal RNA (244 nucleotides) under uncultured bacterium. RNAcentral describes it as "partial 16S ribosomal RNA". It matches the Rfam family "Bacterial small subunit ribosomal RNA", at positions 1138 to 1382 of the family's 1533-position model. The record is from RNAcentral.